GAAACCCCGGGAUUUAUCUCGGGCUGACGGUACCAAAAGAAUAAGCACCGGCUAAUUCCGUGCCAGCAGCCGCGGUAAUACGGAAGGUGCAAGCGUUAUCCGGAAUCACUGGGUUUAAAGGGUGCGUAGGCGGUUACGUCAGUCAGGAGUGAAAGCUCACAGCUUAACUGUGGAAUUGCUUUUGAUACUGUGUAACUAGAAUCAGGUUGAGGUUGGCGGAAUGUGGCAUGUAGCGGUGAAAUGCUUAGAUAUGCCAUAGAACACCGAUUGCGAAGGCAGCUUACUAGACCUGUAUUGACGCUGAGGCACGAAAGCGUGGGGAGCGAACAGGAUUAGAUACCCUGGUAGUCCACGCCCUAAACGAUGCUUACUCGAUGUGUGAGUUAUUGCGCAUCCAAGGGAAACCGUUAAGUAAGCCACCUGGGGAGUACGUUCGCAAGAAUGAAACUCAAAUGAAUUGACGGGG
Molecule: ribosomal RNA, 466 nt
Filed under: uncultured bacterium
Lineage: Bacteria
Description: bacterial SSU rRNA
Rfam family: Bacterial small subunit ribosomal RNA
Source: RNAcentral